AAUGAACGCUGGCGGCAUGCCUAACACAUGCAAGUCGAACGGCAGCACGGGAGCAAUCCUGGUGGCGAGUGGCGAACGGGUGAGUAAAGUAUCGGAACGUGCCCAGUCGUGGGGGAUAACGUAGCGAAAGUUACGCUAAUACCGCAUACGAUCUAUGGAUGAAAGCGGGGGAUCGCAAGACCUCGCGCGAUUGGAGCGGCCGAUAUCAGAUUAGGUAGUUGGGGGGGUAAAGGCUCACCAAGCCGACGAUCUGUAGCUGGUCUGAGAGGACGACCAGCCAAACUGGGACUGAGACACGGCCCAGACUCCUACGGGAGGCAGCAGUGGGGAAUUUUGGACAAUGGGCGCAAGCCUGAUCCAGCCAUGCCGCGUGCAGGAUGAAGGCUUUCGGGUUGUAAACUGUUUUUGUACGGAACGAAAAGGUUUGGCCUAAUACGCUGAACUCAUGACGGUACCGUAAGAAUAAGCACCGGCUAACUACGUGCCAGCCGCCGCCGUAA
This 500-nucleotide ribosomal RNA is filed under the name uncultured bacterium. Its description in RNAcentral is "partial 16S ribosomal RNA". It matches the Rfam family "Bacterial small subunit ribosomal RNA", at positions 29 to 523 of the family's 1533-position model. The record is from RNAcentral.